UUAUGCCUACGGGAGGCAGCAGUGGGGAAUAUUGGACAAUGGGGGGAACCCUGAUCCAGCGACGCCGCGUGAGUGAAGAAGUAUUCCGGUAUGUAAAGCCUUAUCAGCAGGGAAGAACAAUGACGGUACCUGACUAAGAAGCACCGGCUAAAUACGUGCCAGCAGCCGCGGUAAUACGUAUGGUGCAAGCGUUAUCCGGAUUUACUGGGUGUAAAGGGAGCGCAGGCGGCGCGUUAAGCCUGGUGUGAAAGCCCGCGGCCCAACCGCGGGACUGCAUUGGGAACUGGCGCGCUGGAGUGCCGGAG
This 305-nucleotide ribosomal RNA is filed under the name uncultured bacterium. RNAcentral's name for it is "bacterial SSU rRNA". It matches the Rfam family "Bacterial small subunit ribosomal RNA", at positions 333 to 654 of the family's 1533-position model. The record is from RNAcentral.